RNAcentral lists this non-coding RNA (29 nucleotides) under Mus musculus (house mouse). The record is from RNAcentral. Lineage: Eukaryota; Metazoa; Chordata; Mammalia; Rodentia; Muridae.
UUACUUUUUGAUUCGAGACAGGGUUUUGC